GUGAUAUCCACGGGAAGGCAACAUGAUCGAAAUUCCAUUGAUAUAUUUUUUGAGGUCAACAGAUUGACAUCAUCUAGGAAAUCAGUAUAUUAACUGUAUUCUAUCACGUACAAAAAGCCAUUGGAAAAGAUCAAUUUUUUGGGUAGUUUAUCUACCUAAAUAGCGAAGACAACAACAAAUUCAAAGGACUCAAGCCACGACAAAAGUGAAGAAAAUGGAACUACUGGAAAAAGAUUUUUGGAAGCCAUCUUUUUCAAUGUUUCAGUAAGUAAAGGGGAAAAAUCAAAGUCCAAGCUUAUGGAAGAAAGCAAAAGACAGGAAUUCUUUGGUUGCUAAAAAUGAAUUUUGAAAUAGUGGAUUUUCAUGACGAGUCUAAAAGAAGCUGAUUCAUUCCAAUUAAUGGAUACUCCAGAAAAUUCAGCAUUUUAAUUUGAGUCGGUGGCUUCAAGGUCUUAAGUUUGCAGUUAAGAGUUAACAUGGGCUUAAUGAAUUUAACAUGACACUGCUUCUUUGUAACUGUUUUUCUUGAUCGUUGGAAAGCACCUGCUGGAGUCUCUCUGCUAUCUUAAAGGGAGAUUUUUGUUGUCUUUCAUAAUAUACCCCAAGAAAAGAUUUGCUGAUAUAGUGGUGGCUUCGAUUCAUUGGUCGGACACAAUACGGUUAGCCACAUAAAACCUAGAAAGAAAAGUUUAGGAUUCCGGUGUCGCACAUAGAGUGUUCGACGAAAUCUCUCGGAUAAAAUUUUACCUCCGAUGAUCAGUUCUGUAAUAUGGCUAGGCAAGAUAGUGCUUGGUUCGGUUUUUAGUCAACAUGAUGAUGGAGACAGGUCAUGAUGAUAACUUUCUAAAAUGGUUCACUAUUUCGUGGCAACAGAACCAGACUUUUGAGGCUGAAUUGGUACUUUUUCUGGAUUGAAUUAUUUCAUCCACAAGAAUAGGUUGAAAAAGGUAUUGGUAAGGGCUCUUCGAAGAGGUCAAGGACUGCUUGGUAGGCUUCACUAGAAUGUCCUAAUGUUUUGGUAAAGUUGGCUCAAGAUUUGUUAAUAUUAAUGCUUUUUUUCUAAACUUUUCCUGCCUUCAGCUUCCUGAAUAAUAUUUUCAUUUUAGGCUUGGUUUUCUUGGUUGGGAAGCAUGUAUAGUCCCUUGUUUUGGAUCAAUUUAAGAGAAACGUCAAAUGGUGAAUAAGUAGAUGAGAAUUUUCAUCUCUUCAUUCAAACUCCUUGCAAGCUUUAAGAGACGAAUUGUAAAAGACGUGUGAAGCCGCCUGUACCUAUUCUGAAUGUAUUGCUCCAAAGUUGGUAUUUUUUGAAGCACUUAACUACUAACUCUAGCUGUUCGAUAAAAUCUCGUGCUUGAAAUUCUGUCGAAAGUUCCAACCGUGGAUGCUGAGGCAGCUGCAAUGCAAGCAACAUUUAACUAUGCAUAACAGAUGCUCGACAAAAUGUCUUAAAUUUGUUUCUUCUAGUUCCAACGCUUGAUUGAUGAUCAUUUGCAACCUUCGUCAACAAAAGUCGAGACAGCCACUAUGUGUCGCAGUCUCUAGCUUUGACUAUUAGGAUUUAG
RNAcentral lists this long non-coding RNA (1562 nucleotides) under Olea europaea subsp. europaea. The record is from RNAcentral. Lineage: Eukaryota; Viridiplantae; Streptophyta; Magnoliopsida; Lamiales; Oleaceae.